UAUUCUGGAUGAUCAAGCCCAUCUACGUACGGUGGAUUCCUAUCCUGUCAUCUGCCUUCAUUUGGAUUUGCAUCAAGCUGGCAGCUUCCUGCUCUCUUCGUCUCCUGAGCCAAGCCACAAGCGUACCCUGUCCACCCUCCAACGUAAACCACCGCACAUCGAACUAAUUCCUUUGUUCUGAGCUCACACAGAACAGCACUAAGUGAACUCUCUACAGAUAUCCCUGCUGGAUAUCCCUACCUGGAUCCUGAGUCUAAUUCCACCUGGCGACCUGUCCACCAUUACUCAUGAGAUUUUCGUCCAUUUCGAUCCUGAUUUCAUCAUCAAUAAAACAGUGUUUAUUUUA
This is a long non-coding RNA of Girardinichthys multiradiatus, 346 nucleotides long. RefSeq lists it as uncharacterized. The transcript has 2 exons. NCBI's taxonomy places the organism in Eukaryota, Metazoa, Chordata, Actinopteri, Cyprinodontiformes, Goodeidae. The record is from RefSeq and is a predicted model, not a curated record.